GCAGAGGACUUCCAUCUCCAGUGCAACCAAGUUGCCGGCUGGGUGCAAGUCACCCUUUCCUAACAGCUUCGGGAAGGUUUGAGACAAGAACCAAUAUGUGUCCUUGCUGAGCACCACCUGAGACAGGUGUAUGAGUUUCCAGCCAGGCUGGUUCCUGAGUUCAUGUGUGAGGCAGAAGAAAUGAGCAAAGCGUCUCCUGCAUGGGCAGAUGCCCUUUCCCUGCCCCAGAGAUUGGGACAGACCCAUGCCAAAAGCACUGAGUUCUCUGGGUGGAGGUGAGACCAGUGCCCAAACAGAUCUCAGAAGCCAAUUCAGAUUUCUCUCCUCCUAGC
RNAcentral lists this RNase P RNA (332 nucleotides) under Pelusios castaneus (West African mud turtle). RNAcentral's name for it is "Nuclear RNase P (ENSPCEG00000010418.1)". It matches the Rfam family "Nuclear RNase P". From Rfam's summary of the family: Ribonuclease P (RNase P) is a ubiquitous endoribonuclease, found in archaea, bacteria and eukarya as well as chloroplasts and mitochondria. Lineage: Eukaryota; Metazoa; Chordata; Testudines; Pelomedusidae. The record is from RNAcentral.